UACGUAGGGUCCGAGCGUUGUCCGGAAUUAUUGGGCGUAAAGGGCUCGUAGGCGGUCUGUUGCGUCGGGAGUGAAAACUUACAGCUUAACUGUGAGCGUGCUUUCGAUACGGGCAGACUAGAGGUAUGCAGGGGAGAACGGAAUUCCUGGUGUAGCGGUGAAAUGCGCAGAUAUCAGGAGGAACACCGGUGGCGAAGGCGGGUCUCUGGGCCGAUACUGACGCUGAGGAGCGAAAGCGUGGGGAGCGAACAGG
RNAcentral lists this ribosomal RNA (253 nucleotides) under uncultured bacterium. RNAcentral describes it as "partial 16S ribosomal RNA". It matches the Rfam family "Bacterial small subunit ribosomal RNA", at positions 524 to 776 of the family's 1533-position model. The record is from RNAcentral.